UACAGAGACUGCAAGCGUUAUUCGGAUUCACUGGGCGUAAAGGGUGCGCAGGCGGUUGGGUGUGUCAGAUGUGAAAUCCCGAGGCUUAACCUCGGAACUGCGUCUGAAACUACUCGACUAGAGUACUGGAGAGGGAAACGGAAUUCACGGUGUAGCAGUGAAAUGCGUAGAUAUCGUGAGGAACACCAGAGGCGAAGGCGGUUUCCUGGACAGUUACUGACGCUCAGGCACGAAAGCAUGGGGAGCAAAAGGGAUUAGAAACCCCAGUAGUCC
This 273-nucleotide ribosomal RNA is filed under the name uncultured prokaryote. Its description in RNAcentral is "partial 16S ribosomal RNA". It matches the Rfam family "Bacterial small subunit ribosomal RNA", at positions 524 to 796 of the family's 1533-position model. The record is from RNAcentral.